GUGCGAUUGGUCUAGCCUGGUAUGACGCUAGCCUCACACGCUGGAGGUCCCCGGUCCAAAUCCGGGAUCGCACACCA
This 77-nucleotide transfer RNA is filed under the name Promethearchaeati archaeon. RNAcentral's name for it is "Asgard group archaeon (marine sediment metagenome) tRNA-Val". It matches the Rfam family "tRNA". From Rfam's summary of the family: Transfer RNA (tRNA) molecules are approximately 80 nucleotides in length. Their secondary structure includes four short double-helical elements and three loops (D, anti-codon, and T loops). Lineage: Archaea; Promethearchaeati. The record is from RNAcentral.